RNAcentral lists this ribosomal RNA (305 nucleotides) under uncultured bacterium. RNAcentral's name for it is "bacterial SSU rRNA". It matches the Rfam family "Bacterial small subunit ribosomal RNA", at positions 338 to 660 of the family's 1533-position model. The record is from RNAcentral.
CCUAGGGAGGCAGCAGUGGGGAAUAUUGCGCAAUGGGGGAAACCCUGACGCAGCAACGCCGCGUGAGUGAAGAAGGCCUUCGGGUUGUAAAGCUCUUUAAUCAGGGACGAAGAAUGACGGUACCUGAAGAAUAAGCUCCGGCUAACUACGUGCCAGCAGCCGCGGUAAUACGUAGGGAACAAGCGUUAUCCGGAUUUACUGGGUGUAAAGGGCGUGUAGGCGGGCCUGCAAGUCAGAAGUGUAAUCUGGGGGCUUAACCCCCAAACUGCUUUUGAAACUGUGGGUCUUGAGUGAUGGAGAGGCAG